GAAUACCGACAGGAUUCGAACCUGUACUACAGCGAUUACCUCGCUCCGCUCUACCGUUGGCGUACGUUACU
Molecule: transfer RNA, 71 nt
Filed under: Vibrio phage 1.088.O._10N.261.46.A1
Lineage: Duplodnaviria; Heunggongvirae; Uroviricota; Caudoviricetes
Description: tRNA-Tyr
Source: RNAcentral